Molecule: ribosomal RNA, 301 nt
Filed under: uncultured bacterium
Lineage: Bacteria
Description: partial 16S ribosomal RNA
Rfam family: Bacterial small subunit ribosomal RNA
Source: RNAcentral
CAGCAGCCGCGGUAAUACAGAGGGUGCGAGCGUUAAUCGGAUUUACUGGACGUAAAGCGUGCGUAGGCGGCUUUUUAAGUCGGAUGUGAAAUCCCUGAGCUUAACUUAGGAAUUGCAUUCGAUACUGGGAAGCUAGAGUAUGGGAGAGGAUGGUAGAAUUCCAGGUGUAGCGGUGAAAUGCGUAGAGAUCUGGAGGAAUACCGAUGGCGAAGGCAGCCAUCUGGCCUAAUACUGACGCUGAGGUACGAAAGCAUGGGGAGCAAACAGGAUUAGAUACCCGAGUAGUCCCUGUCUCUUAUAC